Molecule: unclassified non-coding RNA, 340 nt
Filed under: soil metagenome
Description: partial contains 5.8S ribosomal RNA, internal transcribed spacer 2, and large subunit ribosomal RNA
Rfam family: 5.8S ribosomal RNA (bases 1-120)
Source: RNAcentral
GAUGAAGAACGCAGCGAAAUGCGAUAACUAAUGUGAAUUGCAGAAUUCAGUGAAUCAUCGAGUCUUUGAACGCACAUUGCGCCCCCUGGUAUUCCGGGGGGCAUGCCUGUCCGAGCGUCAUUGCUGCCCUCAAGCACGGCUUGUGUGUUGGGCUCCGUCCCCCCGGGGACGGGUCCGAAAGGCAGCGGCGGCACCGAGUCCGGUCCUCGAGCGUAUGGGGCUUUGUCACCCGCUCUGUAGGCCCGGCCGGCGCCAGCCGACAACCAAUCAUCCUUUUUUCAGGUUGACCUCGGAUCAGGUAGGGAUACCCGCUGAACUUAAGCAUACAAUAAGCGGAGGA